Molecule: long non-coding RNA, 317 nt
Organism: Phaethon lepturus (White-tailed tropicbird)
Lineage: Eukaryota; Metazoa; Chordata; Aves; Phaethontiformes; Phaethontidae
Exons: 5
Source: RefSeq, a predicted model, not a curated record
UCCUCAUUCCAUCCCAGAUCGCCUGCGGAUCAGAGUGAACAGGAUUAAUUUACAAGAAUAUGAGGGGCUACAUUACGACAAGGAAAAACUCCGGGAAGCUUCCAUUCCCUUAGGAAUUAUAGUGGUACGAGGAGACUGUGACUUGGAGACCUGUCGUAUGUACAUUGACCGUCUACAAGAGGACCUACAGUCGGUAACUUCUACUACACAGAGAGUGCAUUACCAGGACCAAGAAAGCUCUUUCCCCAGAGUACUUUCUGUUCAGAGGCUCUCUCCUAGAUGGUGCUUCCUAGACGCAACUUCUGCUGAUCGUUUUU